This 254-nucleotide ribosomal RNA is filed under the name uncultured bacterium. RNAcentral describes it as "partial small subunit ribosomal RNA". It matches the Rfam family "Bacterial small subunit ribosomal RNA", at positions 26 to 285 of the family's 1533-position model. The record is from RNAcentral.
AGGACGAACGCUGGCGGCGUGCCUCACACAUGCAAGUCGAGCGGAAAGGCCCUUCGGGGUACUCGAGCGGCGAACGGGUGAGUAACACGUGAGUAACCUGCCCUUAGCACCGGGAUAGCUCCGGGAAACCGGAAUUAAUACCGGAUAUGACCACGAUCGGCAUCGGUCGUGGUGGAAAGGAUUCCGGCUAGGGAUGGACUCGCGGCCUAUCAGCUAGUUGGUUGGGGUAACGCCCACCAAGGCGACGACGGGUA